AUGCAAAUGAAAGCCACAAGAGAAAAGAACUCCUACAUUCAUAACAGCAUGGAUGGUCAUGGAGAGCAUUUUGCUAAGCAAACUAAGCCAGUCAGAGAAAGAUAAAUAUCACAUGAUCUCACUCAUUUGUGGAAUAUAAUGAACAACAUAAACUGAUGAACAAAAAUAAAUCCAGAGACAGAGAAGCAUCUAAGAGACCAUCCAACUUCAGAGAGAAGUUAGGGGAGGGGUGGGUAAGAGAUCAAUCUAAGGACUUGUAUGCAUGCAUAUGAGCAUAA
This is a long non-coding RNA of Myotis brandtii (Brandt's bat), 278 nucleotides long. RefSeq lists it as uncharacterized. The transcript is spliced from 3 exons. The record is from RefSeq and is a predicted model, not a curated record. NCBI's taxonomy places the organism in Eukaryota, Metazoa, Chordata, Mammalia, Chiroptera, Vespertilionidae.